This 468-nucleotide ribosomal RNA is filed under the name uncultured bacterium. RNAcentral's name for it is "partial 16S ribosomal RNA". It matches the Rfam family "Bacterial small subunit ribosomal RNA", at positions 28 to 507 of the family's 1533-position model. The record is from RNAcentral.
GACGAACGCUGGCGGCGUGCUUAACACAUGCAAGUCGAACGGAAAGGCCCUGCUUUUGUGGGGUGCUCGAGUGGUGAACGGGUGAGUAACACGUGAGUAACCUGCCCUUGACUUUGGGAUAACUUCAGGAAACUGGGGCUAAUACCGGAUAGGAGCUCCUGCUGCAUGGUGGGGGUUGGAAAAUUUCGGCGGUUGGGGAUGGACUCGCGGCUUAUCAGCUUGUUGGUGGGGUAGUGGCUUACCAAGGCUUUGACGGGUAGCCGGCCUGAGAGGGUGACCGGCCACAUUGGGACUGAGAUACGGCCCAGACUCCUACGGGAGGCAGCAGUGGGGAAUAUUGCACAAUGGGCGGAAGCCUGAUGCAGCAACGCCGCGUGCGGGAUGACGGCCUUCGGGUUGUAAACCGCUUUCGCCUGUGACGAAGCGUGAGUGACGGUAAUGGGUAAAGAAGCACCGGCUAACUACGUG